AUGAACGCUGGCGGCGUCCCUAAUACAUGCAAGUCGAGCGAACAGACGAGGAGCUUGCUCCUUCGACGUUAGCGGCGGCCGGGUGAGUAACACGUAGGUAACCUACCUAUAAGUCUGGGAUAACUUCGGGAAACCGGAGCCAAUACCGGAUAAUAUUUCGAACCGCAUGGUUCGAUAGUGAAAUAUGGCUUUGUGUGUACUUAUAUGUGGACCUGCACCGUAUUAGCUAGUUGGUAAGGUACCGGCUUACCAAGGAAACGAUACGUAUACGAGCUGAGAGGGUGGUCGGCCACACUAGAAUUUGAACACGGUCCAGACUACUACGGUAGGCCGCAGUAGGGAAUCUUCAGCAAUGGGCGGAAGCAUGACGGAGCAACGCCGCGUGAGUGAUGAAGGUCUUCGGAUCGUAAGAAUCUGUUAUUAGGGAAGAACAAACGUGUAAGUAACUGUGCACGUCUUGACGGUACCUAAUCAGAAAGCCACGGCUAACUACGUG
This 496-nucleotide ribosomal RNA is filed under the name uncultured bacterium. Its description in RNAcentral is "partial 16S ribosomal RNA". It matches the Rfam family "Bacterial small subunit ribosomal RNA", at positions 29 to 507 of the family's 1533-position model. The record is from RNAcentral.